GCAGUGGUCCAGAUGACCGUCCGCCGCAGCUCGCGCAAGCGGGUGAAGGUGGGAGGAAAGUCCGAACUCCGCAGGGCAGUGCGCCGGGUAACGCCCGGUCAGGGUGACCUGAAGGACAGUGGCACAGAAAAUACACCGCUGACGUCCGCCGCGAGGCGGGCAAGCAAGGGUGAAAAGGUGCGGUAAGAGCGCACCGCGCCGGCCGUAAGGUUCGGUGGCAGGCAAAACCCCGCACGGAGCAAGGCCAAAUAGGGAGGCGAUCAGGCCGCGCGCGCAAGCGUGUGGACCUGGAGAGGACGGCCCGUCCGAAGCUUCCGGGUAGGCUGCUUGACUUCGGCAGUAAUGCCGGAGCUAGAGGAAUGGUUGUCAUUCACAAAAGCGCGCCGUAUGGCGGGCGAAGGUGGAAACAGAAUUCGGCUUACGGACCACUGCGGUC
RNAcentral lists this RNase P RNA (436 nucleotides) under Acidobacteriota bacterium. RNAcentral describes it as "RNase P RNA component class A". It matches the Rfam family "Bacterial RNase P class A". Rfam says of the family: Ribonuclease P (RNase P) is a ubiquitous endoribonuclease, found in archaea, bacteria and eukarya as well as chloroplasts and mitochondria. Its best characterised activity is the generation of mature 5'-ends of tRNAs by cleaving the 5'-leader elements of precursor-tRNAs. The record is from RNAcentral. Lineage: Bacteria; Pseudomonadati; Acidobacteriota.